Lontra canadensis (Northern American river otter) is the source of this 2722-nucleotide long non-coding RNA. RefSeq lists it as uncharacterized. The record is from RefSeq and is a predicted model, not a curated record. Lineage: Eukaryota; Metazoa; Chordata; Mammalia; Carnivora; Mustelidae. The transcript is spliced from 2 exons.
UCCUUUCUUCCUUUUUCUUUCCUCUAAAAAAUGUUUAAUACUUCCAAGGACUUUCAAGAUUAAUCAUGUUUGGAUUUAGUUUUCUUAUUUUUGUGAGGUGGUUUGAUUGUAGGAAGGAGGAAGUAUAGAUCUGUUUGGUUUCACAGUUAAGAUAUAUAUGGUCCCAAAAAUUUGGGUGUCAGUGUCAAUUUUUUUUUUUUUAAUCUCCUGCUUUCACAUUGAAGGGCAGAGCCUACAAAAUGUUGUAUAUAUCAAAAGACAAAAAGAAACAGCAGCAAUAUCUUGUUCUGUAAUUCAAAGACAAGUUUAGUGUGUUUGUGGUACUUUGGGUUUUUCAAGACUGGGAUACUAAUCCCUAGACAUUGCCUUCACUCCACCUUUUGUCCUUCUGAGUGUUGUCUCAGGAGUUGGACCAUUGUUAUCCUUGUAAGAAAUACUAAGCUUAUUUUUUUUUUUUUAAGCAAUUAUUUCUUUCUUCCUCGCUGAGGGUAGGUGGGACAGUUUGGGUAGGUAGUGUUUUACUUUGGUCUCAGUAUUUGAGUUAAACUGCUUUUUGCUAAUGAGUGGACUGGUUGUUAGCAGGUUUAUUUUUCCUGCUGUUGAUUGUUAUUAGUGGCAUUAACUUUUAGAGUGUGGCUGGUGAGAUUAAUUUUUUUUAAUAUCCCAGCUAGAGACAUGGCCUUUAACUGACCUAAAAAGGUUUGUUGUGAUUUACUUUUUUGUGUGUAUCCUCUCUUUUUUCGUGUCUUCAGUAAACCCACAAUAGUUAGUCUAACUUUAAAAAUGGGAGUUGAUGUCCUUAUAGGUCAGUACCCCUAAGAUAAACCUGAAGGAGGUAUUGUCUCUUGGGCAUGUUUAAAAACACCUAAAAGGAAGCUUAGAUGGACUCGUGGCACAAUAAAUGCAUUUAAUGCCAGCUAAUGCGGACUAUUAAAAGCAAGGCCACAGAGCAUUUGAUUAUAUAGGGAAGAAUAUCUAGACAGUAUUUUUGAGAAUAACAUAGCUGUGCUACUGCUUAUCUGUUGGAGAACAUCCCAGAUUUGCUUAUUUUCUGUGCCUAUGAUAAUUGAGCUUAAGGAUUUGAGGGGGCAAUUGUUAAACAUAUUACUUCUAUUCUUGGGAAAAUAGAAGUUUAGAAGUGUUAAUAACAAAUGUCACUGUGACCUCCUUUACUGAUGGGACUAGUUUAUGCCAGAUCAUUUUCUGGCACAUAAGGAGUGGCUUGGAUGGCUUGAUAACUUUUUGUAAGAUAGGAGACAUCUGAAAUUUCAUGUUUUCCUCCAUAGCCCUAUAUCCAAUAUUUAAAAUUUUCUAGAUUGCCAAUACUAGUGGCCCAUGAAAUGUUCUCAUUAGACUUUAAAACAAUGCACAGGGCUUGAAUUUUCUUGUCAUUUGACUUUAAAGGGAAGUUUGAUUCAUAAUACUUAUCCUUAUGUACAUUCUGAUAAUAGCAAUCUCAUCUCUCCAAAUAUGUUAAAUGACAAAAUUACACAAUGUUGAUGCACAUUUGAUAAUCUUUUUUGAGAAUGUGAAAGUACAAAGUACAAUAGACUUCAGCAAUCUUGAGUGCCAAGAUUAAUACAGGAAAAGAGAGAUAGUUGAAUGAGUAUAUAGGAUUUGAAUCUUAAGAUAGUAAAAAUGUAGAAAGACCAUGCUGGUUUCUUGGGUAUCAGUUUCUUCAGCAGUCCGAGUAUAAACUUAGGAAAAAAGUUAGCAUUAAGCACCUUUACCUUCCUAGAUAAGCUUCAGCUUGCUCUUGCCAAGAGAAGAGUGCUUGAGUUACAGAAGGCAUACUUAGUUUGAAGAAUUCAGCCCUUUUGUAAACUUCCAGAUAUCAAAAUAGAUUUUGAUAUAUAAAUGAGUUUUCUGAGAUGACACUGCCUCUAUUUCUAUAACCAUUUCACCAGGACUAUCUAAUCAGUCCUAUGAAUGUAUCCCUAAAUGUGGUUAUUGAAAACUGAAUAGCUGCCUCAUGACAAUUAAGUACAUGUUAUUUAAGGAGGGGGAAAAAAAUAAAUUUUGAAUUGAGUAUGUAGGCUCCCUAUCAUUAUAGUUUCUUUUUCCACACUAGACAAUGACUUUACCUAAAUGGUAUGUUUGAAAAGGUUAGUUGUCCUACAUCAGACUUGUUUGGAAAGGGUUAAUUGUCCUACGUCAAACUUGUAUUAAGUAAUUCCAUCCAUUUAAGGAAAAGGAGGAUGUAGAAGCUGGGCACUAGUUCACAUGCCUAUGAGUCAGUAAAGACUCGAGUAAUGUCCCAUUUGAGUUGGCUAUUUUGGAGCAUAAAAAUUGUUGAGGUAAAACAAUUCUAUUAACUGGAAGAUCAGAGCAUAUAGCCAUCAUAUUUUUUAGGACAGAGUUUUUACUAUGGGGCGGAUAGGUAAAGAUUAUCCUUAUGGUAAUUGCAUUUAGGUUCUAAAGAAAAGAAUCUGCAGAGAAAUCUAUGCAAUAGACAAUUUGUCCAGACUAGUUUUCAUUUGGGGAAAGAAGUUCUAAAAUAUCCCCAAAGCAGUUAUUCAUCAAUUGAAAGUCCUCCAAAAAUAGAACUAUUGGGAAACUCUGGUUUCUGGGGUGGAAGAGAAAAGCUCCCUCAGUUUUUUGGAGGGAAUAACUUUAAAAAUACUUAAAUGGCAAGUUUACUUGGUGCAGUUAAAAAUUAAACUUGUUGAUUUUAACAUUGCUGUUACAUCUGAAAUAAACUUAUGUGAUGUUCUGGUAGUAA